Long non-coding RNA from Oreochromis aureus, 960 nucleotides. Lineage: Eukaryota; Metazoa; Chordata; Actinopteri; Cichliformes; Cichlidae. The record is from Ensembl.
GUCAUGACGGACUGCGCAUUUGUUCUGUUCUGUAUGUUCUGCGCACUUUCGCUUUCUCCCGGAAGCUGAGCCGUUGUUUUUACGCGCUUAAUUUUCAGGAAACGGUAAAUGUUUACUUUCCAGUACGUCUUGAACUAUUCAGCCCACGGUGCGCUGUGACGGAGACCCUGCAAACUUCGUCUUAUACCGCUGACGCUGCCAGGGAGGAGGAGAAGAGGCAGACCUCAGAGAAGAUUCAUGGAUGUAGCAGGAGGACAUGCAGAGGGUUGGUGUGUCAGAGGAGGAUGCAAGGGACUGGAAAGGGAGCAGCUGAAAGAAGGCAGUGAAGGCGGUAAAGUCAACAAUUUUCCAUAAAAGUGCAGUUCUUCAGUCAUCUCUGCAUAUUAUAUGAGUCAAACAACAGGGCCCUGUUUUGAAAUGAUGAAAUCUGAGAUGACAAACUCUGAGUUUUGACUUCCUUAAGAGUUGAUUAAAAUUAGUUCAAUUAAGUGAGCUGAUUCAAGCACAUCUGUAUGUAAUGAGUGAAAGCAUUCCAUCAUCAGGCAAAUAAAGAGCUGAGCCCUCACUUUAAUCUCAUGGACCAAGAAAGUUGAAUACUUAUGGUAAAUGUUUUCAUGCACAGGAACUUGCUGACAACCUGACAGCUGCCUAUCAGUGUUGGAAAGAUGUAUCCUAUAGAUUUUGUAGUGAAUCCACAAUAUGCGGUCGUCACUGUCUCUGUUCUUACAGGCUGUACACAAAAGAGCUCACCUUAAACAAGCUGCAGGUGCAACAGGAAGUGAAGACUUUGUCAAAGAACAUCUGCAGGUAGGUUCCUGCCAUAAACCCCCUUCCUGUAAUACGGACCAGGGAACCAGAAACAACAAUUUUAUUUUAUGUCCUCUUGUUCUUUAUGCUACAACUUUACUUUAUACUCACUCACCCCAAUAUGUUGUUCCUUUAAAUAUUUUUUUUCUUUAA